RNAcentral lists this transfer RNA (84 nucleotides) under Homolaphlyctis polyrhiza JEL 142. Its description in RNAcentral is "tRNA-Leu (TAA) (tRNA-Leu-TAA-1-1)". It matches the Rfam family "tRNA". Rfam says of the family: Transfer RNA (tRNA) molecules are approximately 80 nucleotides in length. Their secondary structure includes four short double-helical elements and three loops (D, anti-codon, and T loops). The record is from RNAcentral. Lineage: Eukaryota; Fungi; Chytridiomycota; Chytridiomycetes; Rhizophydiales.
GGCAGUAUGGCCGAGUGGUCCAAGGCGAAACCCUUAAGAGGUUUUAGGCUCACGCCUGCGUGGGUUCGAACCCCACUGCUGCCA